RNAcentral lists this ribosomal RNA (510 nucleotides) under Triticum aestivum (bread wheat). RNAcentral's name for it is "partial small subunit ribosomal RNA". The record is from RNAcentral. Lineage: Eukaryota; Viridiplantae; Streptophyta; Magnoliopsida; Poales; Poaceae.
AUGCAUAAUGGGAUUUUCCCCAUUGUUUAUCACCUGCGAACGCAGUCCUCUGGCCAGGGAGCCCGGGCACUUGCCCGGGGUGGCCGGGCGCUAGCUCCGCCACUGCCCGACACCGAUUCCCUCUUCGUCAACGUCGGGGACUCCCUCCAGGUGCUGACGAACGGGCGGUUCCGGAGCGUGAAGCACCGGGUGGUGGCGCCGGCGGAGGGGGAGCAGUCGCGGCUGUCGGUGAUCUACUUCGGCGGACCGGCGCCGACACAGCGGAUCGCGCCGCUGCCGGAGCUGAUGCGGGAAGGGGAGCAGAGCCUGUACAUGUACAGGGAGUUCACCUGGGCCGAGUACAAGAAGGCCGCCUACAAGUCCCGCCUUGGUGACCACCGCCUCGGCCCCUUCGAGCUACCUGCCGCAGCCGCCUCCGAAGAAUCCACUACCAAGGCCAACCACCGCUGCAGCAGCAACGCCGCCGUCCAGGCGCCGGCGCCGGCGCCUCACGUGGCACGAGUGCACUAG